RNAcentral lists this ribosomal RNA (403 nucleotides) under Chloroflexota bacterium. RNAcentral's name for it is "Chloroflexi bacterium partial 16S ribosomal RNA". It matches the Rfam family "Bacterial small subunit ribosomal RNA", at positions 355 to 776 of the family's 1533-position model. Lineage: Bacteria; Bacillati; Chloroflexota. The record is from RNAcentral.
UGGGGAAUAUUGCACAAUGGGGGAAACCCUGAUGCAGCGACGCCGCGUGAACGAAGAAGGUAUUCGUAUCGUAAAGUUCUGUCCUAUGGGAAGAUAAUGACAGUACCAUAGAAGAAAGCUCCGGCUAAAGACGUGCCAGCAGCCGCGGUAAUACGUAUGGAGCGAGCGUUGUCCGGAAUGAUUGGGCGUAAAGGGUACGCAGGCGGGUUAAUAAGUCGAAUGUUAAAGAUCAGGGCUCAACACCUCAAAGCAUUGGAAACUGAUAAACUUGAGUAGUGGAGAGGAAAGUGGAAUACCUAGAGUAGUGGUAAAAUAAGUAGAUAUUAGGAGGAAUACCAGUAGCGAAGGCGCCUUUCUGGACACAAACUGACGCUGAGGUACGAAAGAGUGGGGAGCAAACAGG